RNAcentral lists this ribosomal RNA (491 nucleotides) under uncultured bacterium. RNAcentral describes it as "partial 16S ribosomal RNA". It matches the Rfam family "Bacterial small subunit ribosomal RNA", at positions 29 to 506 of the family's 1533-position model. The record is from RNAcentral.
AGUGAACGCUGGCGGUAGGCCUAACACAUGCAAGUCGAACGGCAGCACAGUAAGAGCUUGCUCUUACGGGUGGCGAGUGGCGGACGAGUGAGGAAUACAUCGGAAUCUACUUUUUCGUGGGGGAUAACGUAGGGAAACUUACGCUAAUACCGCAUACGACCUACGGGUGAAAGCAGGGGAUCUUCGGACCUUGCGCGAUUGAAUGAGCCGAUGUCGGAUUAGCUAGUUGGCGGGGUAAAGGCCCACCAAGGCGACGAUCCGUAGCUGGUCUGAGAGGAUGAUCAGCCACACUGGAACUGAGACACGGUCCAGACUCCUACGGGAGGCAGCAGUGGGGAAUAUUGGACAAUGGGCGCAAGCCUGAUCCAGCCAUACCGCGUGGGUGAAGAAGGCCUGCGGGUUGUAAAGCCCUUUUGUUGGGAAAGAAAAGCAGCAGGUUAAUACCCCGCUGUUCGGACGGUACCCAAAGAAUAAGCACCGGCGAACUUCGG